RNAcentral lists this ribosomal RNA (494 nucleotides) under uncultured bacterium. Its description in RNAcentral is "partial 16S ribosomal RNA". It matches the Rfam family "Bacterial small subunit ribosomal RNA", at positions 28 to 507 of the family's 1533-position model. The record is from RNAcentral.
GACGAACGCUGGCGGCGCGCUUAACACAUGCAAGUCGAACGGAAAGGCCUGCUUUCCCUUGUGGAUUGCGGGUACUCGAGUGGCGAACGGGUGAGUAACACGUGAGUGAUCUGCCCCCAACUUGGGUAUAAGCCUGGGAAACUGGGUCUAAUUCCCGAUAGGACUGCAGGGUGGUGCCUGUGGUGGAAAACGAUUUUCUAGUGGUUGGGGAUGAGCUCGCGGCCUAUCAGCUUGUUGGUGGGGUAAUGGCCUACCAAGGCGGCGACGGGUAGCCGGCCUGAGAGGGUGGACGGCCGCAUUGGGACUGGGAUACGGCCCAGACUCCUACGGGAGGCAGCAGUGGGGAAUAUUGCACAAUGGGCGGAAGCCUGAUGCAGCGACGCCGCGUGGGGGAUGACGGCCUUCGGGUUGUAAACUCCUUUCGACCGCGAGGAAGCCACCUGGUUGGAAGGGUGGUGACGGUAGUGGUAGAAGAAGCACCGGCUAACUACGUG